CGCGGGGUGGAGCAGUCUGGUAGCUCGUUGGGCUCAUAACCCAAAGGUCGUUGGUUCGAAUCCAGCCCCCGCAACCA
This 77-nucleotide transfer RNA is filed under the name bacterium. RNAcentral describes it as "tRNA-Met". It matches the Rfam family "tRNA". From Rfam's summary of the family: Transfer RNA (tRNA) molecules are approximately 80 nucleotides in length. Their secondary structure includes four short double-helical elements and three loops (D, anti-codon, and T loops). Further hydrogen bonds mediate the characteristic L-shaped molecular structure. tRNAs have two regions of fundamental functional importance: the anti-codon, which is responsible for specific mRNA codon recognition, and the 3' end, to which the tRNAs corresponding amino acid is attached (by aminoacyl-tRNA synthetases). tRNAs cope with the degeneracy of the genetic code in two manners: having more than one tRNA (with a specific anti-codon) for a particular amino acid; and 'wobble' base-pairing, i.e. permitting non-standard base-pairing at the 3rd anti-codon position. The record is from RNAcentral. RNAcentral also lists the same sequence under 4 other names.